Molecule: long non-coding RNA, 423 nt
Organism: Lycium barbarum (goji berry)
Lineage: Eukaryota; Viridiplantae; Streptophyta; Magnoliopsida; Solanales; Solanaceae
Exons: 3
Source: RefSeq, a predicted model, not a curated record
AAAAAUCUCGGAGCUUUGAUCUUUGAUUCAAAAAUUUGUUCCUUCUUGAAUUCUUACCAAGUUCAAGGCGCUCUUCAACGUGGUAUAAUUCUUUUAGCAAGAAAGCUACGUUUGUGGCAAGUGGAAGUUUGAAGAAAAAGAUUUUGGAGGAAACGGGAUUUGAGUUUGGAGAAGCGUAAAGAGCGAAUAAGGUACCGACGCUUACUGAGGCGAUCUGCCAGCCUAGGAUACACAUUCUGCUGAUUGAAGUGCUCCUUUGUCCUGGAGCCCAUAUUUGGUACAUACCCUUCCGUUAUGUAUAUAUGUAUGUAUAUUCAGGGGUACGGCAGGGCCCUGUCCUGUCAUAUGAGUCUGUUAUGUCUGUUAGAGGCAUGUAGACAUAUAUGUGGGUCGUGGGUCGCCAUUGUUCGGUCUUGUCUGUGG